This 253-nucleotide ribosomal RNA is filed under the name uncultured bacterium. RNAcentral's name for it is "partial 16S ribosomal RNA". It matches the Rfam family "Bacterial small subunit ribosomal RNA", at positions 524 to 776 of the family's 1533-position model. The record is from RNAcentral.
UACGGAGGGUGCAAGCGUUAUCCGGAUUCACUGGGUUUAAAGGGUGCGUAGGUGGGUUGGUAAGUCAGUGGUGAAAUCUCCGAGCUUAACUUGGAAACUGCCAUUGAUACUAUCAGUCUUGAAUACCGUGGAGGUCAGCGGAAUAUGUCAUGUAGCGGUGAAAUGCUUAGAUAUGACAUAGAACACCAAUUGCGAAGGCAGCUGGCUACACAUAUAUUGACACUGAGGCACGAAAGCGUGGGGAUCAAACAGG